AGAAGCAUUUCAGAAAACGUAGCUUUUGUUUUGCACAUGUAGGCUUGGGCCUGUGUGUUGGACUGCUUACCUGAAUGUAUUCCCAGCCCCCAAAUGAGUCAUAACGGGGGUGCUGUGACAAUGGGAACUGCUUGAGUGGCAGGAAAGAGAAAUCUGUAUUUCACCUGAGUGGUAGACACAGAGUGGUGUUGUGGGGUAUAUGCCUUUCCUAACACGUAUUUUGCCUUGAACCGCCAGACUGGAAUCCAGUAGAAAAGUCAGGAAUGUGGAAAUAGAUUUCAGAAGGUGUGGUGUUCCUGUUCCAUGGUUUGACAAAGAGCACUGGAGAGUCCCAUGCAGCCCCAUCACAGGCUGAGGCACAGGCUUCCAUGCUGUCUGCACCAAGAUGGAUGUUGCGUUCACUCUCCCGAAGCACCAGCUGAUCUGGACCGAAUUAACUCGAGCUCGAUAGAAGUUCAGUCAUAAGCAUGUAAGUCUAUGCACCACUCAUUGUACCUGGUGCCUUCGGAGGACAGAAGAGGCCAUCAGAUCCUGGAACUGGAGUUAUAGAUGGCUGUGAACCACCCUGUGAUGCUGGGGAUGGAAUUCAGAUACCCCAGAAGAAUAAUCAGUGCUCAGAACCUCUGAUCCAUCUCUCCAAGAAGAACCAAAUUUUUAAUGAAUACAUUCUUUACAGUUGCACAUGGAAAAGUUCCAAGCUUUUGUCUCGACUUCACCUUUGCCUCCUGGCAACGCCGGCGCCUGCAUCAUAUACUUCAGCUUCUCCUCCUGGCAAUGUGUAAGAGAGUGACUUUGAAGACCACUGGAAGAGGUGCAGAAUACUCUCAAAGUCACCACUGGAGGGAGAAGAAGCUGUUUCUGUGACCCUCAGUUCCUGUCUCUGGUUGUCAUAGCCUUCUGGCCUCAGAGAUGGCUGUUCACGUGAUGAGCUUUCAGAAAGACUUGUGCAGCCCAUGAAUCUUGAAGAACGGUCCUUCACUCAGUAGCAAUGAUGGGAUAUGGUUCUAGACAAACAAAAUCUCGGAUACACACAUCAAUCAAAGACGGGUGAUGGCGCCAGAAACUCAUUUCAUUAAGUUCUCCAGAUGAUUCCGUUGGACACUGCACUGAAGCCAUGGGUGCAAAGGAUCUGCCUAGAAUAUUCCGUGGAUGCUGCUUGGAUUCUAGUAAAGGGAAAAUGGGCUCAGAGGUUUAUAUGCUCUUUCUUGAAGCUAAAAUGCCUAGAGAUUCUGUCCAAGAAUAGCUGGGCAGGGCAAAGAAAUGAAAAGGAAAUGAGCCAGAGAGGCUUUGCAUUUUGCAGAAUAUUAGCUUAGAGUAGGGAGACCGAGGCCUGAAUUAAAGCAGAAAUGAGUUGGCGUUCUCAACGAAACGGUAUUAAAAGAAACUGAUGUAAACGACUCUGGUUUUAAUAUAAGAUGUAAAAAUGUAUAGAAUGUGGAACAUGGAUGCCAGCUCAGAUACCCUGUGUGGCUGGCCCAGUUCUGUGGGACACUUCCUAAUGCAGGAAUUUCAGCCAUACUGAUGAGAGGCAGCUCCACUUCCCCAUCAAUGCAUAAGACCUCAUCAAUUCAUGAAAUUCAUCAACACGAAAAACCCUUGCCAUGUGAUCGCCAUGCUAAGGGUUGUAAUGAAAGGAACUCUAUUAAUCAUUUCCCAACACAGUCGCCACUUCCCCUUCCCUAUCCCAAACUUUCAAAACAGGUUUAAAAAUCCCACAAGAGACAAAACAAGAAAGCAGAGGCAAUUAUCAGCCAACAAAACCCUGAAAGUUUGAAGUCUUAUCAGACACAAAGUAAAAACAGGUUUUCGAACUGUCUUUUUAAAUUUCCAUCCUGCUUCUGUGUGAAGAGGUUUUCCCAAGUCAUCUAACAGGUAGCAUGGGGGCGGAGUUAUUCCUGCUGACAGACUUCCCUGGGGACUGAGAGGAAUGACUUCUGAAACCAAGCAUUUCUUAACAAAUCAUAUAAAAACCUCACCGGAGACUUCUGCUGCCAGGAGAAAGAUUUCAAGCAUCCACUGAUGGCUCCUCCAAGGCAAUAAAGAGCCAGAUGCAUCAGGCUUGGAGCUUAAAUCUGAUGCUGUCCAAAUUUAGCCUAAACAUGCUUCGUCUAUUUUGAAUAGCUAAUGUGGUGCCACAUUCUUGCUUGUGAGGUAUGGCCCAUGAAUAUCUACAAACUCUGGGAAGGAUCUCAGGCCAGAGCCAUGGGCCCUGGUCGGGUAGCCGAACGUCAUCUCAACAGCUUCAUUUUUGUAGCACACAAUUAACAACUUAGGAUUUAAAAGUUUUUUUUUUUUCCUCCCACGUAUACCUAAUGAACUCUAUUUUUAAGGCCAAUUGUAAAAAUUAUUUCUGACAUGGCCACUUCCAAUCUCUUAAACUUUGGAUUCUAUCCCCUCCCAGCCAAGCCACUUUAACCUUCUAAUGGUCCCCUUAUUUUUCUUGUUAAAUCUUAACAACCUAUUACUGGCUCUGGGCGGGUCUGGCUUUCUGCAGGAAUCUGUGCUGCCUCUGAGUCGUAAAUGCAUAAGGCCUCCUUUUUUUUGGAGGGGUGGGUCAGAUUAGGGCCAUGGGGUAGAGCCAACCUGACUGAAAGUGUCCAUAUCUGCUAGAAAUCUGGCAUGGGACUUGUUAUGGAGAGAUACUAGUUAACUAUUCAACUCAGUGUGUAGCUGAUGAAGUCAGGGCUUCCCAGAGGCAUCCCUUAAAGGAAAAUCACAUGUUUACCUAACAGCCAUGGCUCAUAUCGCCACUCUUCUUCUUCCUGGCCUUUCAUACAUUUGCCUCAAUGUGUUAACUUGCCUGAGCCUUUUAAUCUCUUUACUCCGUAUAGAAGAUACUUGCAAGAGCUGAAAAAGAAGAAAACAAAACAGCAAACCUUGAUUCUGUGAAGAGUGUAAUUUCUGUCAGUUAACACUUUGUUCAGAGAUGAACACAUCUUCGGGAGACAUUAAAAGAAGCUACAAUUACGCAAAAAGCUCUUGAUGAAUAAAGUGUCUAAAUCACCGCAACAAACGAUGCAGUUAUUGGGGAGGUGUAGAAUUCUGAAUAUCCUAUUCACCGUGCAGCUCCUUGCAUUCAGACAGACACUCAAGCAAGGUUAUGUGAGAUGAUGAAUCCUUUUAGAGCAGAAACAUAACCGACGCCCACUGGAGUUAAAGCAGGCUCUUGAAAAAGAAUGAGAAAUUCCAACAGGCAGAGCUGGAGCAUCUCUCUGAAGGUGUUUGGGGCUGAGUUCUCAGACUCACCUGGGGCAACUAUAGAUGCUCUAUAGUACAUGGAAUCAGGCCUGCUGAUUUGCAGUAUAUGGACUUAUUUCCUUAUUCCGGGUGCAUUGUUUUAUACUCUGUGACCACACCACUGAUUGUAAGGGUAGUUGAACCUGGUGUAGUUAAAUAGCCAAAAUCUUUGAAAAACUAACAAGGAAUGAGGGGGAAGGCAGGGUCAGGAAUGGGACUAUGGAGAGGCAGACAAGUUUCAGAAGGCGGGGCAUCAUCAUCAGUUAGGAAAAGAUGGAGUCUUCUUUUGUGUUGUAGUUACUCUGUAUUCCAGUCUUCUUUCUGUUGUGUGGGAUGAAAUCUGACCAAAAGCAAUUUAGGGGAGGAAAACACUUAAUUCAUCUUCCAGGUCGCGGUCUAUCAGUGAAGGGCUCAAGCAGGAACUUUGUUGUAAAACUGUUGAAACAAAGCUGACUUCCUGACUCACUCUCAGUCUCGUGUCUAGCCAACUUUCUUAUGCAGUCCUUGAGCCAUCUACCUGUGCAGGGAGUGAUGCUGUCCACGGUGGACUGGACCUUCCUAUAUCAAUAAAAUCUCGCCCACCCCCACAUCAGCUAGGCAAUUCUGAGAAACCCUUCAAUUUAGAUUCUCUUCUCAGAUGACCCUAAGUUGACAGGUAAAACUAAAUCGAUACUCUGGAAAAGUGAGAAGGUUCUAGAAGCCCACUCCGCAUUUGGCUCAUGUGUGAUAACUGAAGAUGGUAUACAUAUCCACACAACACUGGUUGGGGGUUUUAUCCCUUCUGUAAUCAACAUGUCUCUGGGAGCUGGAGAAAGUUUAAAGCCGGAUCUGAGGGAGCUGGCAAAGGAAACUGGCUUGGGUUUUUGCUGUGUAGGCUUGACCGUGAGUCAAAGCUGCCUGGCCUGGGCAACUGAGUUGUUCCAGUGCAGAUUAGGUGGAUGGAAAGGCACGGAGAAGCCAGGACCCUGCUCAGCUUGGCAGAUGGGAGCACAGGAGAGACCGAAAGACCUAAUGGCUCUCAGCAAUGAACCGUCAAGAAUGCAGACAGAGUUCUUAUACUUCAGCUUCCGUAUCGCUGCGAUCUGAAGCCUCCCGUAGUCCUAUGAAGGAAGUCUGUUUUUCUUUCCACUUUCCAUCAUAACUUUCCUCGGGAGUUUCAGUUCACACUCAGACCUGAAAUCUCAUGUCUUGUCUGUGUUCCCGGGAAAGAAUGCCCAUGCUACAGCCAAGGUGGUGGGCUCACAGUACUGGGUUGGGCCAGGGUGGGCACUCUCAAGAUAGAGAAGCAGAGGCUUCUGUUUGGGGAAGGAGCGAAGUUCAGCAGACUCUCAUUUAGAAUUCUGUGGAGGAGGCCAGCAUCAGUCUCUGGGAGGUAGAUGGUUCCAUGGUCAUGGGCACGCAGAACAGCCAUAACAAGUCUUGAGUUCCCUCCACGAAGAAAAGAUUUAAUUCAGGGAAACAGCUACACUGUCAUUUACUGUGUUGGGUUUUUGAAGU
Arvicola amphibius (Eurasian water vole) is the source of this 4734-nucleotide long non-coding RNA. RefSeq lists it as uncharacterized. The record is from RefSeq and is a predicted model, not a curated record. NCBI's taxonomy places the organism in Eukaryota, Metazoa, Chordata, Mammalia, Rodentia, Cricetidae. The transcript has 6 exons.